This 996-nucleotide ribosomal RNA is filed under the name Phocaeicola vulgatus. RNAcentral describes it as "bacterial SSU rRNA". It matches the Rfam family "Bacterial small subunit ribosomal RNA", at positions 61 to 1052 of the family's 1533-position model. The record is from RNAcentral. Lineage: Bacteria; Pseudomonadati; Bacteroidota; Bacteroidia; Bacteroidales; Bacteroidaceae.
GUCGAGGGGCAGCAUGGUCUUAGCUUGCUAAGGCCGAUGGCGACCGGCGCACGGGUGAGUAACACGUAUCCAACCUGCCGUCUACUCUUGGACAGCCUUCUGAAAGGAAGAUUAAUACAAGAUGGCAUCAUGAGUCCGCAUGUUCACAUGAUUAAAGGUAUUCCGGUAGACGAUGGGGAUGCGUUCCAUUAGAUAGUAGGCGGGGUAACGGCCCACCUAGUCUUCGAUGGAUAGGGGUUCUGAGAGGAAGGUCCCCCACAUUGGAACUGAGACACGGUCCAAACUCCUACGGGAGGCAGCAGUGAGGAAUAUUGGUCAAUGGGCGAGAGCCUGAACCAGCCAAGUAGCGUGAAGGAUGACUGCCCUAUGGGUUGUAAACUUCUUUUAUAAAGGAAUAAAGUCGGGUAUGGAUACCCGUUUGCAUGUACUUUAUGAAUAAGGAUCGGCUAACUCCGUGCCAGCAGCCGCGGUAAUACGGAGGAUCCGAGCGUUAUCCGGAUUUAUUGGGUUUAAAGGGAGCGUAGAUGGAUGUUUAAGUCAGUUGUGAAAGUUUGCGGCUCAACCGUAAAAUUGCAGUUGAUACUGGAUAUCUUGAGUGCAGUUGAGGCAGGCGGAAUUCGUGGUGUAGCGGUGAAAUGCUUAGAUAUCACGAAGAACUCCGAUUGCGAAGGCAGCCUGCUAAGCUGCAACUGACAUUGAGGCUCGAAAGUGUGGGUAUCAAACAGGAUUAGAUACCCUGGUAGUCCACACGGUAAACGAUGAAUACUCGCUGUUUGCGAUAUACUGCAAGCGGCCAAGCGAAAGCGUUAAGUAUUCCACCUGGGGAGUACGCCGGCAACGGUGAAACUCAAAGGAAUUGACGGGGGCCCGCACAAGCGGAGGAACAUGUGGUUUAAUUCGAUGAUACGCGAGGAACCUUACCCGGGCUUAAAUUGCAGAUGAAUUACGGUGAAAGCCGUAAGCCGCAAGGCAUCUGUGAAGGUGCUGCAUGGUUGU